CUCGAGAGCGAACGCUGGCGGCAGGGCCUAACACAUGCAAGUCGAACGGAUCCUUCGGGAUUAGUGGCGGACGGGUGAGUACACGUGGACGUGCCUUUUGGUUCGGAACAACUCAGGGAAACUUGAGCUAAUACCGAAUGUGCCCUUCGGGGGAAAGAUUUAUCGGCCAUUAGGAGCGGCCCGCGUCUGAUUAGCUAGUUGGUGGGGUAAAGGCUCACCAAGGCUACGAUCAGUAGCUGGUCUGAGAGGAUGAUCAGCCACAUUGGGACUGAGACACGGCCCAAACUCCUACGGGAGGCAGCAGUGGGGAAUCUUGCGCAAUGGGCGAAAGCCUGACGCAGCCAUGCCGCGUGAAUGAUGAAGGUCUUAGGAUUGUAAAAUUCUUUCACCGGGGACGAUAAUGACGGUACCCGGAGAAGAAGCCCCGGCUAACUUCGUGC
Molecule: ribosomal RNA, 440 nt
Filed under: uncultured bacterium
Lineage: Bacteria
Description: bacterial SSU rRNA
Rfam family: Bacterial small subunit ribosomal RNA
Source: RNAcentral